RNAcentral lists this transfer RNA (85 nucleotides) under bioreactor metagenome. RNAcentral's name for it is "tRNA-Ser". It matches the Rfam family "tRNA". Rfam says of the family: Transfer RNA (tRNA) molecules are approximately 80 nucleotides in length. Their secondary structure includes four short double-helical elements and three loops (D, anti-codon, and T loops). The record is from RNAcentral.
GGAGGGUUGGCCGAGUGGUUUAUGGCGCCAGUUUUGAAAACUGGUGGGCGAAAGUCCGCAUGGGUUCGAAUCCUAUACCCUCCGC